CGUGGGUAACGUACCUUUUAGUGGGGAACAACAGUGAGAAAUUACUGCUAAUACCGCAUACGGUCAUCUUGCCGCAUGGUGAGAUGAAGGAAGACGGCCUCUCGACGAAGCUGUCGCUAAAAGAUCGACCCGCGUCUGAUUAGCUAGUUGGUGAGGUAACGGCUCACCAAGGCGACGAUCAGUAGCCGGCCUGAGAGGGUGAACGGCCACAUUGGGACUGAGACACGGCCCAA
This 233-nucleotide ribosomal RNA is filed under the name uncultured Bacillota bacterium. Its description in RNAcentral is "uncultured Firmicutes bacterium partial 16S ribosomal RNA". It matches the Rfam family "Bacterial small subunit ribosomal RNA", at positions 116 to 334 of the family's 1533-position model. The record is from RNAcentral. Lineage: Bacteria; Bacillati; Bacillota.